CAGCAGCCGCGGUAAUACAGAGGGUGCAAGCGUUAAUCGGAAUUACUGGGCGUAAAGCGCGCGUAGGUGGUUUGUUAAGUUGGAUGUGAAAGCCCCGGGCUCAACCUGGGAACUGCAUCCAAAACUGGUGAGCUAGAGUACGGUAGAGGGUAGUGGAAUUUCCUGUGUAGCGGUGAAAUGCGUAGAUAUAGGAAGGAACACCAGUGGCGAAGGCGACUACCUGGACUGAUACUGACACUGAGGUGCGAAAGCGUGGGGAGCAAACAGGAUUAGAUACCCCAGUAGUCCCUGUCUCUUAUAC
This 301-nucleotide ribosomal RNA is filed under the name uncultured bacterium. RNAcentral describes it as "partial 16S ribosomal RNA". It matches the Rfam family "Bacterial small subunit ribosomal RNA", at positions 509 to 807 of the family's 1533-position model. The record is from RNAcentral.